UUCAUCUCCCCCCACCCCAUUUUACUCCCAAUAUACCCUACAAUCGGUAACUUCUCUCUUCCCCUGCCUGUUCUUGGUUCCGGCGGCUGUCCAUAGCAGAGCGCGCGUCGCUGCGAUCGGCGAUGAUACUCUGCGCGGCGGGUUUCCAAGUUUUUCGACAAGAAUUAGUUUCCAUUUACAGAUUUUCGACCAUCUAUUCUAUUUUCAAUUGUUCAUUGAAUCAUUUUUUUUCCGAUUAUUUCGUAGUUCUUGGUCGACGAUUUGGAAUAGAGGUUUUCUGCUUGAAGAUACAGCGUGGCUGAAAUCAAACAGGUAAGUCGUUUUGUUUUUUAUUUUUGUUCGAAUUUUUUGUUGACUUUUAGGGGUUUUAAAUCGAACAAGAUUUAAGAUUUUCGAUAAUUAAUGGUUUCCAAAAUCAAAAUCAAAAUUUUUAAUUGGGUUUUAAAUGUAUCAAACGAAAUCAAAAAGUGAUAGUGUUUAUGUGAUUCUAUAUUCGGGUUUUCAAUUAUUUUAGAUUAAUAGUUUUCAACUAUCUGGAUUUUCAAUUUUUGUUGCAGUUUGUUUGAUUAGGGUUUAUGUAAUAGGAUUUUCGGAUGGCUUCUGGAAAGGGGAAAUAGAAAGCUCGGAUGGUAUGAGUGUGUGUUCGAAAUAUUUUGAUUUUUGUUCGUAAUUUUAAGAUUCAAAGUUCAAUGUUUCUAAUAUAUGUUUCAAGCAGUGGAUAUUCGGAUUGUUUUGGUCCAGUUUUGUGAUUCUAUAUUUGGGGACUGAUUUUUCUAUAACAAUUUAUCUCACUUUAUCUCCAUUAAAUUCUCCAACAUGUAAAUUGCGGCAUUUUCUACUGAUUUCAUGGUUGUUGGGGCACCUUCUUUUUGCCCCUUAAUUUUAAUUAUUACGAAAGAUCGUGGUUUGCUGAGAAAUCACUCUUUGUAUUGAUAAUUGUGUUGUAGAUUCAAGAAAUGGAUGGUGCUAUAAGAUGAAUGCAAUUUCUAUGAACCAUUUCGAUUUUCCAGUAUUUUUUUAAUAGAAUAUAUGUGCUGAUUUUGUCAUCCAUCACCCCUAUGUUGCAGAGCUUAUCAGGUUCAGCCAGUUCAGACAGCAUAUAACUCCACAUCCUCUGAUAAUGAUUAUCAGAUUAAGGGCUUUGAUUUUUACUAGUUUGUCGAUGCAUAGUGUGAUACAAAGAGACUAUGUGGGUGAUGAUUAUGAAUGUUGAAGAGACUGAAUUCGAAUUGAUCAUUAGGUUUUUUGAAACAAGAGUGUUUUGUUUGAUUGAUGAACUAUUUCUCUAAUGUCAUUGUAAUAUGUAGCAGUUAUGUUGCCUGGGUGAGAGGUUUGCGAAGAGUUAAUGUUGGUUUGAUUUUUCAUUUGAGUUUCUAUUCAUCAAAGAGUUCUAUUAUGUUCAUUUAGAAUUUUGUUCUGUUCAUUGUAAAAUAUAAAUAUUUGAGGUUUGCGAAGAGUUUAUGUUGGUUUAUUUUUUUCUUACUAACAUAAAGCAUUUUGAAAUGUAAAAUAUUCAACAUAAAAAUUUUCGAACAAGCUUAAAACAAUUAUGAACAUCUGAAUAAAAUUUUGAUUUUUUCUUACUAACAUAAAAUAUUUGACAUAAAGCAUUUCGAACAAGCGUAAAAAAUUUACGAACACCUAAAUAAAAUAUUUGAAUAUUUCUUACUAACAUAAAAUAUUGGACGUAAUAUUUGACAUAAAGAAAUUUCGAACAAGCGUAAAAAAAUUACGAACACCUACAUAAAAUAUUUGAAUUUUUCUUACUAACAUAAAUAUUUGACAGAAGCAUUUCGAACAAGUGUAAAAAAAAAAUUACGAACACCUAAACAAAAUAUCCGAAUUUUUCUUACUGACAAUUCCUAACAAUAACAUAAGAAUUAUAUUCAUGAACAUCUGAAUAAAAUUUCGAUUUUUUCUUACUAACAUAAAAUAUUUGACAUAAAGCAUUUCGAAUAAGCGUAAAAAAUUUACGAACACCUAAAUAAAAUAUUUGAAUAUUUCUUACUAACAUAAAAUAUUGGACGUAAUAUUCGACAUAAAGAAAUUUCAAACAAACGUAAAAAAAUUACGAACACCUACAUAAAAUAUUUGAAUUUUUCUUAUUAACAUAAAUAUUUGACAUAAGCAUUUUGAACAAGACGUAAAAAAUUUACGAACACCUAAACUUAUUGAAUUACAUAUAUAGCCUUUCGGCUAUAAUUAAGGAAAAGAAACAGAAAAAAAAAAAUCGGCCAUUGGAUUGAUAAUUUUGGAGGCUCCAGAUUAAUUCUUCUUUCUCUACAUAUUUGUCAUUAUCUGUUUAACCUUUCUCUCUCUAUAUAUAUAUAAAUAGUUAACUAAUGAAAAUAGGUUGAUUACAUAUAUAGACAUACGUGCCUACCUUAUAUAUAUCGCAAAUUAUUGGGUGCGACCGUCGCACAGCUGUGCGACGGGUCGACCCGGCUCCAAACCUGCCCUCCUGACCCGGAACCCUGACCCGCGUGGGUUUGACCCAUACUCCUAAUUAUUACAUUUGUUUAUAAUAAUUGUUACCUUUAAUAAACAUAAUAUAUACAUUUGUUCAUAUAAAUGUAUAUUGAUAUGUAUAAUGUUUUAUAUUGAAUGAAGGUAAAUAUUUAUAUUAAUAUAAGUAUACAUUUGUGCGACCAAAUGUAUAUCUUAUACUUAUUAAAAGUAAAUACUCCUAUUAGGGUUUAGUNUGCGAUCGGCGAUGAUACUCUGCGCGGCGGGUUUCCAAGUUUUUCGACAAAAAUUAGUUUCCAUUUACAGAUUUUCGACCAUCUCUUCUAUUUUCGAUUGUUCAUUGAAUCAUUUUUUUUUCCGAUUAUUUCGUAGUUCUUGGUCGACAAUUUGGAAUAGAGGUUUUCUGCUUGAAGAUACAGCGUGGCUGAAAUCAAACAGGUAAGUCGUUUUGUUUUU
This 2922-nucleotide long non-coding RNA is filed under the name Salvia miltiorrhiza (redroot sage). RNAcentral describes it as "long non-coding RNA (SMIL_LNC012029)". Lineage: Eukaryota; Viridiplantae; Streptophyta; Magnoliopsida; Lamiales; Lamiaceae. The record is from RNAcentral.